Long non-coding RNA from Gallus gallus (chicken), 602 nucleotides. The record is from Ensembl. NCBI's taxonomy places the organism in Eukaryota, Metazoa, Chordata, Aves, Galliformes, Phasianidae.
AGGAAGUUUGUGCUAGAUUGAGGGACAUAUCCUUCAUCUGUCAUGGUUUGGAAUUAGUUGUCUUCUUUGAUAGUCCCAUCCAAGGUCUUCAGUUGCAACCAUGAUAUUAUGAUGUUCAUAGGAGAAUGUGCAUGGAGAUGAUGCCAUUCCCCUUGUUCUUGGAUGAGAGCAUUACAGACAGGGAAAGUAACCCUUCUUCACAUCUCAGGCUUGAUUGUACCUCUCUCUUGUCAGGACAGCAAUGCAUGUAACCAGAGACAAUGUUUGGGGACCGGGGAGAGAGAAGUGUUGCAGUCUCUGGAUUCAAGUUUUCUCACCUUUCCCAAAAUAGAACUCCUCAGCUUUCUGGGUCCUGAGAUAAUCUCCCAUGUGUCACUUGAGCCUACACAAGGCUUUGGGAAGUAAAACGGGGAUGCAGCAGAAGCCUCACUGACCAUGAUAAAUCAGAGGUCUUGGUGGAGUCUCACCGUAGCAAUACAAAGCACCUCUUAGCUCAGCCGAAGCCCAGCUAACAAGGCAGCAUUCCUUCAGGACCAGAACUGAAUCAGGUCAGGCUCACUCAGACUAAAAAUAAUUUCUCCUGUCAGUAUUUUUUACCCAAG